Molecule: small nuclear RNA, 109 nt
Organism: Mesoplodon densirostris (Blainville's beaked whale)
Lineage: Eukaryota; Metazoa; Chordata; Mammalia; Artiodactyla; Ziphiidae
Source: RefSeq, a predicted model, not a curated record
GUUCUCACUUCAGCAGCAUAUAUACACUGUAAUUGGAAUGAUUCAGAGAAUAUUAACAUGGCCUCUGCACAAAGAUGACAUACCAACUCAUGAAGCAUUUCAUAAUUUU